Anolis carolinensis (green anole) is the source of this 3362-nucleotide long non-coding RNA. The record is from Ensembl. Lineage: Eukaryota; Metazoa; Chordata; Lepidosauria; Squamata; Anolidae.
GCGAUCACGGAGAUAGGUUGGUCCUGAGCCAUAUAGAAUAGAAUUGCACCUUGAAUUGGGACUGGUAGCUUAUCGGCAGCCAGUGGAGCUAUUUUGACAGUGUUGUAGUAUGCUUCGUGUAAUUGGCUCCAGUUAGGAGCCUGGCUGCCGAACUCUGAACCAACUGGAGUUUCCGGGCCAUCUUCAAGGGCAGCCCCACGUAGAGAGCAUUACAGUAAUCCUAUCUGGAUGUAACUAGGACGUGGACCACCUUGGCAAUGUAAGACUUCUUGAGAUAUGGUCACAGCUGGUGCACAAAUUUUACUUGUGUAAAGGCCCUCCCGGCCACCGCUGCCACCUGAGCAUCAAGUGACAACGAUGAGUCCAAGAGGAUCCCCAAGCUGCGGACCUGCGCCUUCAGGGGGAAUGUUACCCUGUUGAGCACAAGUUGCCACCCAAUGUCCCGUUCGGUGCCACGACUGACCAGGAGGACCUCCGUCUUGUCUGGAUUGAGCUUCAACUUGUUAGCCCUCAUCCAGUCCAUCACAGCUGUCAGGCACUGGUUCAUGGUCUGAGAGGCUUCCUUUGGAAUUCAGUGGAAAGGAGAAAUAAUCCGCAUAGAGGUGGCACCAAACUCCAAAUUUUAAAGUACUAAAAGACAAUUUAAGCACUGUACAAAUGAAAAGAGGCUUUAAUUAAGAGUUACAUUUUUUACUUAUUGUCAGAAUGAAGCCAGUAUUGGUACCAAAAAGCUGUCCACAACUAAGGUGCCAAAAUGGAAAGGGCCCUCUCAUGUGCUCCCAUGAAGUAUUGCUCCCUUGUUAGGCCACAGAGGAGGAGUAAUCCAGCUGAUCUAAAUUGCAGGAGAUCCUGCGUUAGUCUGCUGGAGCGAAAACAACAAAGAAACUACACCUGGAAAAUGAACAAAAGAACAUCUGGUGGAAUAUGGGAGAAGAUGAUCUCAUUGUUGCUCUAAGGUUCUGGACCUCCUUUCCCAGAACCUUCUGAUUAUCUUUCUUCAAGCAGGUAAAACCCUUUUUAUUCCAACAAGCCUUUUUUUAGGGGAGACCAAUCUUGCAUAAUUAAGAAAACCACAACAAAAGAAAUAAAAGUCCAGCACAAUCUUGCAUAAUGUGCUGGACUUUUAUUUCUUUUGUUGUGGUUUUCUUAAUUUGUUUGAACUGGUAAAGGUAAAGGCAAACCCUCUCUGAACAAAUAUUGCCAAAAAACCCCAUGAUAGGUUGGCCUUAGGUUUGCCAUAGGUCAGAAAUGACUUGAAGUCACAAAAACAGAAUUGAAUUUUAACUUUUAUAUUCCAGUAAUUUUAAUUAUGUUUGUUUUAACUGUUUUAAGCCAUCCCAAAUUGGAAAUAUAACAGAAACAAGAACAUGAGCAACACUAACAUAUCCAACACCACCAACACCGUUUUUCUCUUGAAAAAAGAGCAGUCAACGCAAAAGAUACUUGUAUUCAGCAAAAUUAGCCUAAGCUGUCCACCUGUCUGCAAUGUUGGUCAAUAAAUCCAAACAGGAAACAUUCCAGUCCUGUUUGCUUAGGGGAUUUUUCCUUUAAAAAAGAUUCACAUAGGUUAGUUGCAACAGGCCGCCCCUCCAGUCUGAAAUGGAACAAGCUAAGCAAGUACAUUUCCAUGCAGACAGCCAUACUCAUGGGUAGAGUGUGGUCAGCUGACCUCCAAAGGGCAAGACGGAGGUCAGCUGUCUGGUGCAGAGGAUUACAUUUGCAACAUAGAUAAGAUAUAAUAGCAAGAAAUAUAUUAAUGUAUCAAUGCUGUGUAUCAUAUAUGCCUACAAAGCACUUGUGUAAUAUGCCAUCCCAGCAAUGGAGGAAGUACUUACCAGAUUCCAAUAAUUUGGAGACAAUGGGCUUGAAACUGAUAUAUACAACUUAUAUAGAAUUAUACUUCAUAUGCAGCAUAGAACAGGUUUUUGUGGGGUAGAGGCUUCCAUUCCAUUCACUGCAAAGUUUAGAAAAAUUCAACUGAAGACUGAAGUCUUGCUUUCUGAGACCACAGCAAAUACAAGUUAACAUAGAAAUGUGUAUUUCUAUUUUAACUUUUAUAUCAAGUUACAUUGUUUUAAAGUUUAUUUAUUUUUAACAUUAAAUAAAACAAGCUCAACCCACAACAAGGAAAUGUAAGAGGGGCAAAUACCCAACAAGAGAGUUGUGAUCCUGAGUAGGAAACACAACUAGGCAGUCUCCAGUUCAUGUCAAAGACUGGUUCAUAAAUGUAUGCAUCAUUUGCAUUUCUUGCCACUUCUUUACUUAAAUCUCACCAUAGAAUUUUGAAUGUCUGUAGUAGGCUGGUUUAUACACACAACUUGUGAAGUGUUGCUAUGAUUAUCAAGUGCUCAAUGUCCACAUGUCUUUAAUAUAAAGGUGGCAUUGAAGAGGCAUCAGAAGCCUACACCUGUACACCAGUGCCAUCCACCCCAGAACCAUAAAAUAGUUAAUCUUUAUUGAAUGCUUUUGGUAUCUGCUGGUGUUUGAUCAGGACUCCAGUGGUACCAAAAUCAAUGGAUAAUUAAGUCCCAUUGUAUACGAUGGUGCGGCAAAAUGGCAACCUUUAUCAAAGUUUGCUUUUUUGUAAUUAAGUUUUUUUUUCUUCAUGGUGUGGAUAGUUGAAUCCAUGGAUACAGAAUUCAUGCAUAUGGUGGACCGAAUGUAAAUAUAUUGACUUAAUAUUAUUUGUUAAAAUAAUGAUGAGCGGCCAUUAAAGGGAAAAAAACCCACAUAUCUUUAACUGUCCUGAUUUGGCAGAGACAAUCUUGGGGCCCAUCCAGACAUGACCCAAAACGGAAGAGCUCUCAUGCUUUUACCAAAGGCAUCCAAACGACACCUCUGGUAAAAGUGAAUUAAUUUGAGACAAAGCAGGAAAACACAAAUUGAAAUGUUUUUUGAAGCAAUGCUUAAGAGAAGAUAUAUUCCACAUACAUUCUUUAUAUCCUAAACUCAGAAAUUCCUUAUAUAUCUAGCCAAAUGAAAUACUUACCACUUCAUCACUUGGGGCCUUUUUAGCAUCCCUGCCAGUCUAGCAAUGGAUGGGCACAUUACUCAUCACACAACAUUGCUGGACUUCCAGUGGAAUGGAAGUGUUGUAUAAUUCUUCCCUUGUAACAUGGAAGGCUCCAAUGGAGACAGCACAGAACCAGAACAAAUCUGUACGGCUUUGGCAAUGCUUCCCCGUGUGAAGGGGAAAGCAGCACCCAAGGAGGCAGCGCACAUAGUGAUAGUGUCAACCCUCAUCCCAGGGUUAGCGAAAUGGUACCAGGGAUGCGGGGUUCUCCUAUGUGAGGAAGUCUGCCUCAUCUAUGUAUAGGCACAUGUGUUCGGUUUCCUUCAAACUCUUACUUUCUUUCCAGCAG